GACUUUCUUUUUAAGAGUAAUACAGCACCAACAACAGUUAUUUAAUCAAGUAAAAUGUAUAUAAUUAUAUACUAAACCUAGUGAAGUUGAAAUAGAUGCCGGAGAUGUUGCUUCUGAUUCUGUGUCUGUGUUCAGCCAGGCCUACAACUGGAGGUCUGAGCUGCGAUACGCAGGGCCUGCGAGAGAAGGAAUGUACUAGUUGCAUACUUGCAAACUUGCAGGAUGCAGACAGAAUGAUAAAUUAGCCACCUCGGGGGAAUUCAGAGCGAUACAGAAUGACAAAUUAGCCACCUCGGGGGAAUUCAGAGCAAGGCCCUCAUGAACCCUGGUGGUUCAUGAGGGCAAACCAGACCACAUCUGGUUUCUCUGUUUUUCUCUCUGUUUAUUUUUUUAAGACAGAAGAAAUGUUUAGAAACACCCGCUCUCCUCCUGUCUACGAUAUUACAACAGGCUUCUGAUUUUUCACAAGUAAAGCUCCUCAGCUGCGCCGCAGCGGGUCAAUGCAGAGGGGGGAGUGCUAAUUGCCUUGUUGUGUGUCUGGGGCAGUAGUGAGGGAAAAAAAAAGCCCCUGCCCCCUGCAAAUACAUACGUCUAAAGAAAACCUGCUAUUUAACUACAUUAUUUAUGGUAGCAUGACUAGUUAGUACUGACUACAAGUUUGUGAUUUCUUUCAUGCUUUCUCCAAAAUAGUAAAUGCCGGUUUAAACACAUUUGAAACUCAUAGAUUUUUCUGUAACACUCACUAGUGUGAUACAUUUCAGUAAAUGUUUCUCAUUUGUACAUGUACUUCUUAAGAAUAUGUGACUGUUUGUAAGCAGGCCAACGGGAGGUUAUUCAAAUUAAACUUUUAACUUUCCUUGGUUAAAGAAUUUGUCCAGAAUUUUCCAAAAUUUAUCCUCGCAUCAUUGUAAAUGCUACUUUGGUUCAAUUUUUUUCCUGCUGCUGAAUCAACACUGAUCUUCCCAGAGCUUCAUGCUUUCUCCAAAAUAGUAAACGCCGGUGUUAGAUAUUUUUUAACAUUAUCAUUUUGUUGUUACUUUAGUUUAUAUUCAGUCUAAAGUAUUAUUGUGAUUUUAGUAUAAACUGACCUGGAGGUUACAAACUGUCUUCAUGCGAGAUAGUAAAACUUUAUGGUUCUCAGACCCUAAAGUUUUCUCUGGUGUUUAUCUACCCGUCUUAGGUGACAGUUUGACCCAGAGCUGAACUGGGCUCAGAUUGUAAAUUAGAUAUCACACCUGGAACUGAGUUGUUGGUCUGUUUGUGUUAAAUGUUUUACGACCUCUGUUGUUUGAUGCUUUGACAAUAAGAGGGAGCUCACGUGAAAGCAGAUCAGAACUCUCUAUUGAAGAGCUUGGAGGAGCUGUUGAUCGGGAUUUCUCCUUCUGCAGAAGCCUGACCAUAUUUAAUUCAUAUACGUUGUCUGUGGUUAUUUUAUUGUAGGUUCGAGGAAAAUACCUAACAUUUAUUGGUGCCGAAACCCGGGAUCUCUCAACCCCCCGCUGUCAGGCAGAGGAAGACGCGCUGAAUCCGUGCACGGCCAGAGUCAAUUGGAGACCUGGAAAGAAAGACCCAGGAAGCAAAUUCUUCGCUGGGCCAGCGACACAUGUCCGACUUUGUCUGUCAACGGCGGAGUGACGAGAUCCGACUGGACAACUUGAGAACUACGGAAACGAGGCCGCUCUGAUCGAGCCAGGUGACUGGGUCUACAUAAAAGUCAUCAAACGAAAGAAACUGGGCGAGUCCACAGUGGGAAGGACCGUUCAAGUGCUGAUGACCACACCAACAGCUGUAAAGAUUGCUGAAAGACCCAGCUGGAUACAUCUCAGUCACUGUAAGCUGCAGAGAGUGUUAAACCCCUAAAUUUGGAGUAGAGAGGAAGGAGAGCUCUUUUGAGAGCUUCCGGGCUACAAAGGGGAGCUACAUUAUAGUUGUAGUUCGUCUCAAACCCGGUGAAGAAACGCUAAGAUUCUCACUCCUUUAGUUUGGGGGUUCUGACAUCUCUGUACGUCAAGCAGCAAUGGGGACUCCAUAUGACAGAUGGAUUUUCUGCUGCGCUGUGACUGUUGUAUGUUUGAUGUUUGGUGAAGGAAGCGAGCCUGAGUUCCAGUCACAUGACUACAGUACCAAUCUUGGUGGAAACUGAUGAACAGAACUGCUUAUGAGGGACAUGCUGUGAACUGCUAUGUGUGUGCGCAACUGCCGGUUUCCAUACACAACUCAGGUCUCCGACCAGGUAACAUUGCUGACGACAAACAGAUGUGUCUCUAUGUUCUAAGCACUAGACCGCGGCGCAUCCCACCACCAAGGGGAGACAGACCACGUGAGAAGGACUAUUCAGCUGACCUCCGGAUGGGAGAGGCAGUGCAAGGACUGUUUCAAUUUUUAAAUUGUUCACUGGCAGACGAUGUACUUCCUUUUCGUCAUCUCAACAAACUGUAUGGAAAAUACCAGAGAUCAUUUCGUUGGCAGGAGCCAAACCAGGAUCUCUGAGGAUCUGUGUGUAUAAUAAUGGACAUGUUGUUCUAGGGAUGUUGCCCUGGCACUUGUGUAACAGAGUUUACACCUACUGCGAACCGACACAGGAUUUCAUCGACUGCACAGCCUGCAGGGGUCAAAGGGCGACUCCACACUGCAAAGUCUGGAAGGAAAACCCAGAUUGUCACAACCUGCUUCAGAGGAGUUUCAACAUCACGCAUAAGACUAAGAGGAGACAAAUGACAACACUGUGCAGCGCCAUAGUGCCAGGAGAUUAUGGCUCUCAGAUAUUAGCAGACUGGAAAGCACAAAAUGAUCUACACACCCGCUCCAAGCGAACAGCUAUGCCAGAGGUCAAAAGAUGGGGAGGCCUAACAACACAUACUGGAGUUCCAUGGGAAUUCAGGAUUUGGAACGGCGGAGAAAGGUUCUUUUUCCGUGGGUUGGUCUAGGAGAGAUUUGAUACCAUGUUUGAGAUAAACAGGUACGGAUUAUUACGACUGAUCAACAUCACAUACCAGCUGGCCAAUGGCACCAUGAAAGAACUGACUGAACUGAGAAACAUGGUUAUGCAAAACCGUGUUGUCCUGGACUGUCUCACUGCCCCUCAGGGAGGGGUCUGCAAAAUCAUUGGCCCAACGUGCUGGAAGAUUUAAAACAGUAUGUUGAAAGUGGAACACGCGGCUCAUCCUCUUUUGGCGCACUUCUGGACCCUGGUGGUCCUUGCUGUUAAAGCUUGUGACACCUAUUCUGAUUGUGUUAAUUCUAUUCUGUCUUUUUACGGGUUGCAUUAUUCCUUGUCUACGGAAUAUGAUAUUUAAAACAAUUAACACGACUGUUAUCAACUAUCAGCUGACAAAGGCAUCUUAUGAAACAACUGAAGAUGACUUGUUCCAAGUUUCUGACGAUUUUCUGAACAAUGAUGAAUUUCUGUAAUCAAUAAACAGAUAAAUUCAUUUGCUGAAUGACUCCAACACCGAAAAUGUGGGAACAAGUGAUGUUUAGGAUGAGAAAACUGCAUUUGAUUUUUUACUGUUUAUUCUUUUGUUUUUUCAUGUAUUUCAUUAUAUAACUUUUAUUCAUUAUGUAUUCUCUGUGUUUAGAUUAGUUUUUAUUAUUUUCUUUUAUUUUCUUUUCUAUAUUUGGCUUCUGCAUAGCAGUUUAUACACAUAGUAAAAUGAUAAAAAGGGGGGAAUGUUAGAUAUUUUUUAACAUUAUCAUUUUGUUGUUACUUUAGUUUAUAUUCAGUCUAAAGUAUUAUUGUGAUUUUAGUAUAAACUGACCUGGAGGUUACAACUGUCUUCAUGCGAGAUAGUAAAACUUUAUGGUUCUCAGACCCUAAAGUUUUCUCUGGUGUUUAUCUACCCGGUCUUAGGUGACAGUUUGACCCAGAGCUGAACUGGGCUCAGAUUGUAAAUUAGAUAUCACACCUGGAACUGAGUUGUUGGUCUGUUUGUGUUAAAUGUUUUACGACCUCUGUUGUUUGAUGCUUUGACAAUAAAGAGGGAGCUCACGUGAAAGCAGAUCAGAACUCUCUUUGACCAGCUCGGAGGAGCUGUUGAUCGGGAUUUCUCCUUCUGCAGAAGCCUGACCAUAUUUAAUUCAUAUACGUUGUCUGUGGUUAUUUUAUUGUAGGUUCGAGGAAAAUACCUAACAGCCGGUAUAAACACAUUUGAAACUCAUACAUUUUUCUCUGUAACACUCGCUAGUGUGAAACAUGUCAGUAAAAGUUUCUCAUUUGUAAAUUUAUUUCUUAAGAAUAUGUGACACUUAUUAAACAGACCUUACUGAGACUACUCAUAUUUAAGUUUUAGCUUUCCCCAGAGUUUAAAGUUUUUUUUUCUCUCUUUCUUUCUUUAUUUUUUCUUAACACUGCGCAACUACGCUCCGACAUGGUAAAUUAUUUUGUUACCUUUAUCAUUAUCCACUACUUUUGUCUCUAACUUAUAUGCUGUAUGUUUCUCGGCCCAAAUGAUGCUUUUUUUCCUCCAUCCAUCAUUUUACACACUUGAGUGUGUUCAAUAACGAAAUAUAGUUGUUGAAUUUUCCGUUACUGAAGCUUAUAAAUGAUCAAUGUAAACUUUCAGUCUGUAUUCAGAUAGUGAAUACAAUUCCUAUUAUUUAGA
This is a long non-coding RNA of Poeciliopsis prolifica (blackstripe livebearer), 4601 nucleotides long. RefSeq lists it as uncharacterized. The record is from RefSeq and is a predicted model, not a curated record. The transcript has 2 exons. Lineage: Eukaryota; Metazoa; Chordata; Actinopteri; Cyprinodontiformes; Poeciliidae.